AGUUGGUGUAAUUGCUCAGACAGAACAGACAUUCAGAGAUGGAGAUGUAAAUGGCGCUCUGUGGCGUUCACUGACUUAAUGAACAGCCGGGCUCACAGCCCUCUGGCUGCACUUAAACUUUAAAACAUCUAUUAUUGAGGCAUGACCAAAAAAAAAGAAAGAAAGAAAAAAGUGAGUGGCCAGCAGUAACCUUUCUCUUGUCUCUCUCCUGGUAUGUCUACUUUAGAAGGAGGUGGAGUCG
Molecule: long non-coding RNA, 241 nt
Organism: Thalassophryne amazonica
Lineage: Eukaryota; Metazoa; Chordata; Actinopteri; Batrachoidiformes; Batrachoididae
Exons: 3
Source: RefSeq, a predicted model, not a curated record